Aethalodelphis obliquidens (Pacific white-sided dolphin) is the source of this 737-nucleotide long non-coding RNA. RefSeq lists it as uncharacterized. The transcript is spliced from 4 exons. Lineage: Eukaryota; Metazoa; Chordata; Mammalia; Artiodactyla; Delphinidae. The record is from RefSeq and is a predicted model, not a curated record.
GCGGCAUGCUCUGUGAUUCUGUCUGCUCGCCUCCCCUCUCUGAGCCCGGGUUGUCCUGGCUCUUAAAUGAGGGAGCUGAUUGCCGAUUCCUACAGCCUCGUCCAGGCCUGAAGGGCCUUCCAGAGGGGUGAAUGGUGCAGGUCGGGGGCCCUGAUGGACAUGUGUUCAAAUGCUGGUUCCACAUUCUCUUGGCUGUGUGAUCCUGGAAAAGUGGCUCCACCUCUCUGAGCUACAUCUCCGCCACUACAAACUGGGAAUGGUGAUAUCGCUUCACAAGGAUGUUAUGAAAGUCAGAUGAGAUAAUGGGAAUCAAGCAUUCUGCACGGGACUUGUCACAUAUGGACAGAGACAAGGAGAGGAAAGGAGGUCCUAGGUACGCUCUCAGCAGAGCAGAGGAGGCUGUCACCCCCCUUGAGCUGCAGAAAGAAUAUCAGCUCUCCAAGGACAACAGCUUUGUCUAUUUUGUUCAGUUUUAUAUCCUAAGCUUCUCUCACAGUGCCUGACAUACAACUGACACUUAAUAAAAGUUUGUUGAAUGAAUGAAGCCAAUGAAUGAAGGUCUCAAUGCUGGGAAUAUAGAAAGAUCUCUAAGAUAUUAAGCAGAAAAAGCAAGCUUCAGAAUGACGUGGUGGAUGUGCCCCCACUGUAUUGCCCCACUGUGUAAAGAAUGUUUUCCCAUCAACCUAAAACUGCUAACAACUUUUAAUUAAUUAAUGUCAAUUAAACAACAAAUACUA